UUCGAGGUCUCUUGUUUGUCAUCCUCAUGUAAGCUUUACUUCUUAUAUUUCAUAAUGGUAUUAUGCUUUAUUUUCGGAUCAGGAUCAUCUUUUGAACUUUCGUUCUCGAUCAAUCUUUCUGUUAUAAUACCUAAAACAUCAAAAUAAAAACCCUUCCCCGACUUUUGGGUUAAGGACUCAUCAAAAGCAACAUGAAUUGACUCUUAUACAUAAGAAUAUAUAUUAUUGUAAACCCUAUAGGCUUUAGUCAUAGAUGAGCACC
This 262-nucleotide long non-coding RNA is filed under the name Lathyrus oleraceus (garden pea). RNAcentral's name for it is "Pisum sativum (pea) long non-coding RNA (PSAT_LNC014130)". Lineage: Eukaryota; Viridiplantae; Streptophyta; Magnoliopsida; Fabales; Fabaceae. The record is from RNAcentral.